This 894-nucleotide long non-coding RNA is filed under the name Mustela putorius furo (domestic ferret). RNAcentral describes it as "lncRNA (ENSMPUG00000027334.1)". Lineage: Eukaryota; Metazoa; Chordata; Mammalia; Carnivora; Mustelidae. The record is from RNAcentral.
UAAAAAGCACCUGACUCAAGUUUCUCCUUUGUUCAUGCUGUUUCUAAUUAGAUACUUCAUUUGGACUCCAAUGUGGAAUAACCUUGGGAUGCUGGGGAAAGAGACAGAGUUUGAGAGAGAGCAUGCGCAAGCAGGAGGAGUGGCAGGCAGAGGGAGAAGCAGGUUCCCUGCUGAGCAAGGAGUCCAGUGUGGGACUCGAUCGAUCCCAGGACCCUUAACUGACUGAGCUAUCCAGGAGUCUCAUGGCCCACCAUUUUAUUUAAGGUCACAGACCAUGUUGUUCAGAAGGUUGGCUCAUUAGAAAUUCUGGACUCUGGCUCUAGCUUUAUAAACAUAAUGUUCUAACUAACUGAGACAACUGGUGGUUUGCAGUAUAAGUUAAAUUUUGCUGUGUAGUGAACACCAUAAAAUAGUGGCUUCAAAACAAAACAAAACAUUUACUUCAUUCAUGAUUCUGCAUGUUGGCAGUUUGCUUAGGCUUGCUGCAAAGUCCUUAUGAUCAGGGUCAGGUUAUCUUCUUGGCUAAAUUCUCUCACAUAUCUGGGAUCUAAGCUUCAACUAUAGAGAUGAGCUCCUUCCAUGCAUCUAUAAUUCCUCAGCUGGCUAACCUCAGCUUGUUCACAGAGUGACAGAUGGAUUUUAAGAGCACUUUGGGAAGAGAAGCCAGAAUGUGCAAGCACUUUUUUUUAUAGAUAUAGAAAAGAGAUAGAUAUUUGUGUCAUGUUCACUGGUGUCCUGUUGGUCAAAGUUAGUCACAUAAUCAACUCAUAUGCAAAGAAUGAAGAAAUAGACCCUUCAUUCUAGAAGAAUCUGCAGCAAUUUUUUGCUAGGGCAUCACAUUGCAAACAUGUUUCAUUAAAAAAGCUGUGAAUCCAGGAAAGGGAAGAAUUCGUA